UAUGUAUCGCCAUGCUGACACUCUCUUAGCAACUAUGCCUUUUGUUUGCUAGGAUGAAUUGCACAAGUUUUGCAAGGGCACAUCAGUUAAGCGGGAGACACUGAAUGCUGGCUUAGAAAAUCGCCGGGAGGGAGAAAAAAAAUUGCAGUCUCUGCUAUGAAAGGCCAUUUCAGUUUGCUUGGAGCAUGCAGCCUAAUUUUUAACUCCUCCCUCGCUGGCUAUGAAAGGGCCAUCAACUUCUUGUUUUGUACAUAGCUGAUUUCUUUCUUUGGGAAAGAAAAUACCCAGCUUGACCCAAGAAUGGGAUGGAAAGCUGCAAAAUGGGCAUGAUGCUACUUAUGAGUAGGGAUGGAUUAUUUAAGGAGCAUUUAAUAGAGGGAAUUCUUUGGUUUUUGUUUUUUUUAAUCGAGGUGCAUAAUUUAUGGCUUAUGCCUAAUUUUCAUUAGCUUCCUGCCUUAGAAUCGAGAGGCAGGUUUUAGCCAUUCGUGGUUAGAGGAACUCUGAGGCAGGGGUGGGUUCUACUUAUCUUUACUACCGGUUCGCAACGGUAGUAUUUACAGACAUUACAUAUUUGUGUGCGUUUCUGAUUUCAGUUCUUCAGUCAGUUCUUUUUCCCCGUUAUAAAACUGUACUCUAAAUACUUGUAUUUGCCUUGUUAUAUAACAUACAGUAUGUGUAAAACCUACUCUUGCUUAAAUUUGGUUAAACGUCUGUUGUGGAUAAAUACUGUUUAUUGUUACUACAUGUUCUCCAACUUUAAGUUCCCAGUUUUCUUUCUUUGGUAAUGUCUCUCUUUUCCAGUGUUGUGCUAAAUUUAUCAUUACAGUAAUAAACAUGCAUUUUAGUAAACUGUGAUAUUUUUUGUUAACAGAUUUUGGAAUUGUGCCUAAGAAGAAUUAUGUUUCAUUUCAAGUUUGAUUUCUAAAGUUUUCUGAGUGGGUAUGUCUUUCCACUUUUUUUUUUAAUGUGUCCGUCACAUACAGUAAAGGGUUCCUUCUGGUUCAUGACAUUUUCAACAGGAACGAUUUAUAUUGGCGAUUAUUGACAGAGUUAUAUAUCAUCUGUAAUACAUUUAAUAUGUUUUCUCUUUAUAUAUAGGGAUGACUCUCACCCUUUACCCUCCUACCAUCAUGAAGGAUCAGUGGUUGCUUACAAUCUUGCAGCUGCAUUCUUUACGGUGUAUCCACCUUUGAAGGGUCAUCAAGGAAUAGUGUUUGCAAUCAGAAAUGCAUGCCAACUACAUCUGGCAGCUCAGCAUAAUGGGCAUAAGGGCAACGUCUUCUCCUGAGAGAUGCAACUAUAAAGGGUUCAACAUCUCAGUUUGAUGUAUUUCAAACCAGAGACCUAAUUUCCUGUGAAGGGGUAGCCACUAGAUCAAAUCAAAAAAGUUCAGUCUAUCACUCCAUCACUCUCCUCAAGAUCCUAAGUAGUGACGGCAGAGGAUAUUUUUUGAAUGCAAAUGCACCUAAUCUGCAUUUUCAAACCAAUGCAAACUGAAACUUUGUUAUCCAUCAACAUUUCUAAUUCUCUGGAUCUUGCAAUGCAACUUGCUAAUGGCUUAAAAAAACCACAAUAUUAGCAAAAAUUGACUGCAGCUCGAAUUCUUCAUGUGCAGAAAUGGAAAGUUAUGUUAAUCCACACAAUGGAAGAAUGGAUGGAAAAAGUGAUGGAAGUCAAUGCUUUUUUUCUUCCCUUCCCCUUUUUCCCACACCUCUCUUUCCCUUUUCUUUUCUUUCCACAUUUCCCCACUAUCUUUCUUUUCAUUUGUACUUUAUAUACAUUGAUAAUCUCAAUAAAAGUUACAUUUGAAAGAAAGAAAAAA
Molecule: non-coding RNA, 1822 nt
Organism: Pantherophis guttatus
Lineage: Eukaryota; Metazoa; Chordata; Lepidosauria; Squamata; Colubridae
Source: RefSeq, a predicted model, not a curated record